RNAcentral lists this ribosomal RNA (468 nucleotides) under uncultured Sphingobacteriales bacterium. Its description in RNAcentral is "bacterial SSU rRNA". It matches the Rfam family "Bacterial small subunit ribosomal RNA", at positions 911 to 1382 of the family's 1533-position model. The record is from RNAcentral. Lineage: Bacteria; Pseudomonadati; Bacteroidota; Sphingobacteriia; Sphingobacteriales.
UGACGGGGCCCGCACAAGCGGUGGAGCAUGUGGUUUAAUUCGAUGAUACGCGAGGAACCUUACCUGGGCUCAAAUGUAUGUUGACGUAUUCUGAAAGGGAUACUUCUUCGGACAAUAUACAAGGUGCUGCAUGGUUGUCGUCAGCUCGUGCCGUGAGGUGUCGGGUUAAGUCCCAUAACGAGCGCAACCCCUAUCAUUAGUUGCCAUCAGGUCAAGCUGGGGACUCUAAUGAAACUGCCUACGCAAGUAGUGAGGAAGGUGGGGAUGACGUCAAAUCAGCACGGCCCUUACGUCCAGGGCUACACACGUGCUACAAUGGCCGGUACAAAGGGCAGCUACCUGGUGACAGGAUGCUAAUCUCAAAAGCCGGUCUCAGUUCGGAUCGGAGUCUGCAACUCGACUGCAUGAAGUUGGAAUCGCUAGUAAUCGUGGAUCAGCCAAGCUGCGGUGAAUACGUUCCCGGGCCUU